Molecule: ribosomal RNA, 468 nt
Filed under: uncultured bacterium
Lineage: Bacteria
Description: partial 16S ribosomal RNA
Rfam family: Bacterial small subunit ribosomal RNA
Source: RNAcentral
GACGAACGCUGGCGGCGUGCUUAACACAUGCAAGUCGAACGGAAAGGCCCUGCUUUUGUGGGGUGCUCGAGUUGCGAACGGGUGAGUAACACGUGAGUAACCUGCCCUUGACUUUGGGAUAACUUCAGGAAACUUGGGCUAAUACCGGAUAGGAGCUCCUGCUGCAUGGUGGGGGUUGGAAAGUUUCGGCGGUUGGGGAUGGACUCGCGGCUUAUCAGCUUGUUGGUGGGGUAGUGGCUUACCAAGGCUUUGACGGGUAGCCGGCCUGAGAGGGUGACCGGCCACAUUGGGACUGAGAUACGGCCCAGACUCCUACGGGAGGCAGCAGUGGGGAAUAGUGCACAAUGGGCGGAAGCCUGAUGCAGCAAAGCCGCGUGGGGGAUGACGGCCUUCGGGUUGUAAACCGCUUUCGCCUGUGACGAAGCGUGAGUGACGGUAAUGGGUAAAGAAGCACCGGCUAACUACGUG